This 541-nucleotide ribosomal RNA is filed under the name uncultured bacterium. Its description in RNAcentral is "bacterial SSU rRNA". It matches the Rfam family "Bacterial small subunit ribosomal RNA", at positions 355 to 896 of the family's 1533-position model. The record is from RNAcentral.
UGAGGAAUAUUGGUCAAUGGGCGAGAGCCUGAACCAGCCAAGUCGCGUGAAGGAUGACUGUCUUAUGGAUUGUAAACUUCUUUUAUACGGGAAUAACAAGAGCCACGUGUGGCUCCCUGCAUGUACCGUAUGAAUAAGCAUCGGCUAACUCCGUGCCAGCAGCCGCGGUAAUACGGAGGAUGCGAGCGUUAUCCGGAUUUAUUGGGUUUAAAGGGUGCGUAGGCGGCCUGUUAAGUCAGCGGUGAAAUCUAGGAGCUUAACUCCUAAAUUGCCAUUGAAACUGGCGGGCUUGAGUGUAGAUGAGGUAGGCGGAAUGCGUGGUGUAGCGGUGGAAUGCAUAGAUAUCACGCAGAACUCCAAUUGCGAAGGCAGCUUACUAAGGUACAACUGACGCUGAAGCACGAAAGCGUGGGUAUCAAACAGGAUUAGAUACCCUGGUAGUCCACGCAGUAAACGAUGAUAACUGGGCGUAUGCGAUAUACAGUAUGCUCCUAAGCGAAAGCGUUGAGUUAUCCACCUGGGGAGUACGCCGGCAACGGUG